Carassius auratus (goldfish) is the source of this 589-nucleotide long non-coding RNA. RefSeq lists it as uncharacterized. NCBI's taxonomy places the organism in Eukaryota, Metazoa, Chordata, Actinopteri, Cypriniformes, Cyprinidae. The transcript is spliced from 3 exons. The record is from RefSeq and is a predicted model, not a curated record.
CUGAAUGCGUGAAUAGUACCCUGAGUAGUAGGUUGAAAGGGUAUUUCAGCUGCGCAUGCGCCUCAGACGAUUGCGGGCAGCACGCGGCCGUGCGCACCGUUUAAACGGACUUUGGACUUCUUGUUUAAUGUUGUCGAACAGAGUCGAAUUCAAGCAGAAGGCUUCAGUGGGACAUUUUGCGUUUUUCUUUCCUGUGGUUGAACCGGACACCAGCUCAUACGAGGACUUCUCUCCGGUUGAUACCUGAACUACCCAGCUGCACCUCCAGACGGUGUCCAUCUCAAUAACUCUAGAAGACGUUACCCAGAGGCUCUCUCUUUUGUUUGAAUUCGAGUAUGCAUUUUAUAUAGACUACUCUGCAGGUGGCAAGUAUCCGUGUCUUCUACAGCAGCGGCAGAACCUUCAGUUUUAAUGUGAAAGGUGCUUUCUCCACUUAAUUAAAGGGGCUUGUUGUAGCUUUGAAUACCAUUGUAGUUUUUCUGUUGUACGUUUUUUUGUUUUGUUCAGUUUAUGGAAGUACAGUUUUGUACAGUACAAUUUUGUAUUUAAGGAUUGUAUUAGUAGCCUACAAUUUGUGAAAAAUUAGAAA